CUAUACAUGCAGUCGAGCGGACAGAAGGGAGCUUGCUCCCGGAUGUUAGCGGCGGACGGGUGAGUAACACGUGGGUAACCUGCCUGUAAGACUGGGAUAACUCCGGGAAACCGGAGCUAAUACCGGAUAGUUCCUUGAACCGCAUGGUUCAAGGAUGAAAGACGGUUUCGGCUGUCACUUACAGAUGGACCCGCGGCGCAUUAGCUAGUUGGUGGGGUAAUGGCUCACCAAGGCGACGAUGCGUAGCCGACCUGAGAGGGUGAUCGGCCACACUGGGACUGAGACACGGCCCAGACUCCUACGGGAGGCAGCAGUAGGGAAUCUUCCGCAAUGGACGAAAGUCUGACGGAGCAACGCCGCGUGAGUGAUGAAGGUUUUCGGAUCGUAAAGCUCUGUUGUUAGGGAAGAACAAGUGCGAGAGUAACUGCUCGCACCUUGACGGUACCUAACCAGAAAGCCACGGCUAACUACGUGCCAGCAGCCGCGGUAAUACGUAGGUGGCAAGCGUUGUCCGGAAUUAUUGGGCGUAAAGGGCUCGCAGGCGGUUUCUUAAGUCUGAUGUGAAAGCCCCCGGCUCAACCGGGGAGGGUCAUUGGAAACUGGGAAACUUGAGUGCAAAAGAGGAGAGUGGAAUUCCACGUGUAUCGGUGAAAUGCGUAGAGAUGUGUACGAACACCACUGGCGAAGGCGACUCUCUGGUCUGUAACUGACGCUCAGGAGCGAAAGCGUGGAGAGCGAACA
RNAcentral lists this ribosomal RNA (741 nucleotides) under bacterium IBRC-M I6. RNAcentral's name for it is "bacterial SSU rRNA". It matches the Rfam family "Bacterial small subunit ribosomal RNA", at positions 49 to 774 of the family's 1533-position model. RNAcentral also lists the same sequence under 1 other name. The record is from RNAcentral.